AACCAUCCACACCAGGGAUGACCUUGGUGUCUUCCAGGACUCUGAGCUUCUAUUCAGUAUAAUUGAAUCCAACCAGUGGGAGCUCUCAAGGGGGACAGCCUCUUCCUCUAUAUUGAUGGGCCAUUGAGGAAAGCAAGCUGCCAAUUGAGAUACUUAUCAGUGUGCUGAAGCUUUGAAGGCUGCCCUUUCUGCUCAACCUUGGAAUUUCCUGGAUAUUCCUGCAUGCCAUCAUCUCCAGGGUUCAUGCCUGGUGGAGAGGACAUCCCUGGAUGCUGCUUCGGUGUUCUAUCUGAUUGGAACUACAAUAUCUAUGGGAUUUGGGACCUGAGAGACUUGGAGAAACAGGAAGAAUGGGAGUGGGAGUGUGACCAAAAUAGUGGACAUUGCAGCAAUGGCCAGACACUGCAGGCUUCCUUGCACCCGGGGUACUCCUGAGAUAAAGAGGAAGGUGGGGAUGACUGGAGUCGUGGGGGAUGAAUUGCAUUUCCAUUUAGUUACUUAACUCUUUGAAAAUCUGUGGAAUACCCACCUAUCGUUUCAGAAGUCCAGUAUUUUUGUUGCCGACCAAGAAGUAUAUUGAAGAAAAUCUUAUCUGUUUCCUGUGACAUCAAAGAUUUGUUUCCAAAGAGCAGAAGCUGAGGGGAGGAGUGUGAGGACUAUCUGAUGCCCACAUAAUUGUUUAUUUCUGAGCAGACAGCUUAUGCUCGCUGAGGAGUGAAGCCGCAGUCAUAUUGCAGACUUGGAGCUGUGUCCUGAAAGUCAUUUGCUUGCCCUUUGCAGAAAAGAAAGGCAAAGAAAGGGUGAUCUCGAGGUCCCUGACUGAAUCACAUCUGCCAAGUUCCUUUUGCCAUACAGAGUAACACCUUCACAGCUUCUGGGGAUUAGGACAUGGACACCUGUGAGGGGUCAUUACUCUGCCUAACCUAAAAAAGAGAUUUUUAUUUUCAAGAGAGCUAGUUGUUAAAUACUUAGUGGCACACACUCCCCGUGACCCUCUUAAUACCUUGGUAGACUUGUGGGGAAGACCCUAAUCCUUCUCACGGCGCUACCACUUUGAUUUUAAUGCUGUCAUACCUUCUGUCAUUUAGGGACACCUAUAAGGUUUCUGCCUCCAAAAAAUGGGGCACAGCUGCUCUCUAGCCCCCGAGCUUCUCUGGGUGUCUGUGAAGACCCAGGCUGAGGCUGCAGGGUGCAGUUACACCCUCCUGCUAUUCAGAUGAUCACUUCUCCUCUCUACUUUCCUCUCCUUUCUCAGUCAUUGCAUUUUACUUUUUUGGGGAUGGGAAAACUUGCUUUUAUGUCAUUAUACAUUCAUCCUAAGACUGUGUUUAUCAAAUAAACUUUAUAUAUCUCCCGGGUCUUAGUUUUUAAUAGCUGCAGGCAAGCUUUUAGAAUUUAACAAAUCUUUUCUCUCUCAAAAAGCUGGUUUCUCACAAAUCAGAAGCACCUUUCUUUUAAGAUUCCAUUUAUUUCCAAGUUUCAAAAUCCUAUUUUGAACCUCAAAGCCAAUAAAGGCUGUUUUGCUAUCCUUCUAAAG
Canis lupus familiaris (dog) is the source of this 1537-nucleotide long non-coding RNA. RefSeq lists it as uncharacterized. The record is from RefSeq and is a predicted model, not a curated record. NCBI's taxonomy places the organism in Eukaryota, Metazoa, Chordata, Mammalia, Carnivora, Canidae. The transcript is spliced from 7 exons.